ACGAACCGUGCAAACGUUGUUCGGAAUCACUGGGCUUAAAGGGCGCGUAGGCGGGCCAGCCAGUCUGUGGUGAAAGCCUCCAGCUUAACUGGAGAAGUGCCGUGGAUACUGCUGGCCUCGAGGAGGAUAGGGGCAUCUGGAACGGUCGGUGGAGCGGUGAAAUGCGUUGAUAUCGACCGGAACUCCGGUGGCGAAGGCGAGGUGCUGGGUCCUUUCUGACGCUGAUGCGCGAAAGCCAGGGGAGCAAACGGGA
Molecule: ribosomal RNA, 253 nt
Filed under: uncultured prokaryote
Description: partial 16S ribosomal RNA
Rfam family: Bacterial small subunit ribosomal RNA
Source: RNAcentral